This 438-nucleotide ribosomal RNA is filed under the name Escherichia coli. RNAcentral's name for it is "bacterial SSU rRNA". It matches the Rfam family "Bacterial small subunit ribosomal RNA", at positions 1050 to 1488 of the family's 1533-position model. The record is from RNAcentral. Lineage: Bacteria; Pseudomonadati; Pseudomonadota; Gammaproteobacteria; Enterobacterales; Enterobacteriaceae.
UGUCGUCAGCUCGUGUUGUGAAAUGUUGGGUUAAGUCCCGCAACGAGCGCAACCCUUAUCCUUUGUUGCCAGCGGUCCGGCCGGGAACUCAAAGGAGACUGCCAGUGAUAAACUGGAGGAAGGUGGGGAUGACGUCAAGUCAUCAUGGCCCUUACGACCAGGGCUACACACGUGCUACAAUGGCGCAUACAAAGAGAAGCGACCUCGCGAGAGCAAGCGGACCUCAUAAAGUGCGUCGUAGUCCGGAUUGGAGUCUGCAACUCGACUCCAUGAAGUCGGAAUCGCUAGUAAUCGUGGAUCAGAAUGCCACGGUGAAUACGUUCCCGGGCCUUGUACACACCGCCCGUCACACCAUGGGAGUGGGUUGCAAAAGAAGUAGGUAGCUUAACCUUCGGGAGGGCGCUUACCACUUUGUGAUUCAUGACUGGGGUGAAGUCG